This 409-nucleotide unclassified non-coding RNA is filed under the name Hevea brasiliensis (rubber tree). The record is from RNAcentral. Lineage: Eukaryota; Viridiplantae; Streptophyta; Magnoliopsida; Malpighiales; Euphorbiaceae.
UGUGAAAAUGGAAGAGAACUUGAUCGCUUGAGAAACCUUGAAAGGAGGCUUAUACAUUGAAAGGUAAAAUUAUGCUUGAAAACUAAAUUGAUCAUUGUGAAAAAAGUAAAGCUUGUGUUGGAAAAGUAAAUUGAGCACUUUACAGAAAAUUAAAUUUGUGCAUUGAAAAAGUAAAUUGAUUGCUUUGCAUAAAAGUAAAUUGAUUGCUUUGAGAAAAUUAAAUCAUUGUUGGAAAGGUAAAUUGUCCAUUGAAAAUUAAAUUAGCAAAUUGUUUGAAAAGAAAUAGGGACAAGAAAGUCAUAGAUUGCAUUGAAAAUCGAAAAGAUUGCGUACAUUAAUUGAAAUAGGUGCAGAGAAAAUGUAAAUUUCUUGCUUGAAUUGAAAAUAAAAUGCUGGAAUUGAAACUGAA